GAUGAACGCUGGCGGCGUGCCUAAUACAUGCAAGUCGAGCGAAAAGACGAGGCACUUGCUUGUCUGACGGAAGAGGCGGACGGGUGAGUAACACGUGGAGAACAUACCUAUAAGACUGGGAUAAAUUAGGGAAAACGGAGCUAAUAACGGCUAAUAUAUUGAACAGCAUGGUGCGAUAGUGAAAGACGGCUUUGCUGUGGCUUAUAGAUGGAGCCGCGUCGCAUUAGCUAGUUGGUAAGGUAACGGCUUACCAAGGCGACGAUGCGUAGCCGACCUGAGAGGGUGAUCGGCCACACUGGAACUGAGACACGGUCCAGACUCCUACGGGAGGCAGCAGUAGGGAAUCUUCCGCAAUGGGCGAAAGCCUGACGGAGCCACGCCGCGUGAGUGAUGAAGGUCUUCGGAUUGUAAAGCACUGUUAUUGGGGAAGAAGAAAUGUGUAUUUAACUAUGCACGUAUUGACGGUACCUGAUGAGAAAGCCCCGGCUAACUACGUG
This 497-nucleotide ribosomal RNA is filed under the name uncultured bacterium. Its description in RNAcentral is "partial 16S ribosomal RNA". It matches the Rfam family "Bacterial small subunit ribosomal RNA", at positions 28 to 507 of the family's 1533-position model. The record is from RNAcentral.